This 500-nucleotide ribosomal RNA is filed under the name uncultured bacterium. RNAcentral's name for it is "partial 16S ribosomal RNA". It matches the Rfam family "Bacterial small subunit ribosomal RNA", at positions 30 to 523 of the family's 1533-position model. The record is from RNAcentral.
AUUGAACGCUGGCGGCAGGCCUAACACAUGCAAGUCGAGCGGUAGAGAGAAGCUUGCUUCUCUUGAGAGCGGCGGACGGGUGAGUAAAGCCUAGGAAUCUGCCUGGUAGUGGGGGAUAACGUUCGGAAACGGACGCUAAUACCGCAUACGUCCUACGGGAGAAAGCAGGGGACCUUCGGGCCUUGCGCUAUCAGAUGAGCCUAGGUCGGAUUAGCUAGUUGGUGAGGUAAUGGCUCACCAAGGCGACGAUCCGUAACUGGUCUGAGAGGAUGAGCAGUCACACUGGAACGGAGACACGGUCCAGACUCCUACGGGAGGCAGCAGUGGGGAAUAUUGGACAAUGGGCGAAAGCCUGAUCCAGCCAUGCCGCGUGUGUGAAGAAGGUCUUCGGAUUGUAAAGCACUUUAAGUUGGGAGGAAGAGCAUUAACCUAAUACGUUAGUGUUUUGACGUUACCGACAGAAUAAGCACCGGCUAACUCUGUGCCAGCAGCCGCCGUAA